This 405-nucleotide ribosomal RNA is filed under the name uncultured bacterium. RNAcentral describes it as "bacterial SSU rRNA". It matches the Rfam family "Bacterial small subunit ribosomal RNA", at positions 355 to 776 of the family's 1533-position model. The record is from RNAcentral.
UAGGGAAUCUUGCGCAAUGGGCGAAAGCCUGACGCAGCGAUGCCGCGUGUGGGAUGAAGGCCUUCGGGUCGUAAACCACUUUCAGCAGGGACGAAAUUGACGGUACCUGCAGAAGAAGCCCCGGCCAACUACGUGCCAGCAGCCGCGGUAAUACGUAGGGGGCAAGCGUUGUCCGGAUUUAUUGGGCGUAAAGAGCUCGUAGGCGGUUUGGCAAGUCACGUGUGAAAUCUCCACGCUCAACGUGGAGGGGUCACGUGAGACUGCUAUGACUAGAGUCCGGUAGGGGAGUGUGGAAUUCCCGGUGUAGCGGUGAAAUGCGCAGAGAUCGGGAGGAACACCCGUAGCGAAGGCGGCACUCUGGGCCGGUACUGACGCUGAGGAGCGAAAGCGUGGGGAGCAAACAGG